UUAUUUUCCCAGCUUCAAUAGCUAAAAAUCUGCUACAACUCAAAACACUGGAUAUAAGCAGUUCUGGGGUGGAGGAAAUUGUUCAGAAUCUGAACUGGGUAGAAACAAAUAUGGAGAACCAACCUAUGGUCAAAGUUCUGCAGCCACAUUUCUCCUUUAGAAAGCUAGACCAAGCUCUUGGGUCUCUUGAAGAACUUCUUGUUUGGCACUGUGACAGCUUGAUCACUUUAGCACCAUCCUCUGCUUCUUUUCAAAAUCUGACGCGUUUGACUGUAUGGAAAUGCAAUGGAUUAGUUAGUUUGGUAACAUCUUCAACAGCAAAAAGUCUGGUACAACUCACAAAAAUGAGUAUAGGAGCAUGUGACAGAUUGAAAGAAAUAGUUGCAAAUGAGGGAAAUGAAUCGAAAGAGGAUAUCAUCUUUAGCAAAUUAGGAAAACUGGGACUUAGAUAUUUGCCAAGCCUCGUCAGUU
Molecule: unclassified non-coding RNA, 471 nt
Filed under: Hevea brasiliensis (rubber tree)
Lineage: Eukaryota; Viridiplantae; Streptophyta; Magnoliopsida; Malpighiales; Euphorbiaceae
Source: RNAcentral